This 2226-nucleotide long non-coding RNA is filed under the name Olea europaea subsp. europaea. The record is from RNAcentral. Lineage: Eukaryota; Viridiplantae; Streptophyta; Magnoliopsida; Lamiales; Oleaceae.
AUUUCACUUGAAAAUGAGGGACCAUUUGUGAAAAUUGGAAUGUGCUUUUACACGAAAUCGCGAUUGCGUCCAAGAACUGUCUCGUAUAUCUCUAAAGCGAUAAAGGAUUGAUUUUUUCUUCUUCUGCCGUUCAAAAUUUAAAUCACUAUAUCAUUCUGCAAAUUGCGUAGACUAAAAAUCGAUAAUCGAAAGAAUGUCGGGUAAAGGGGCAAAGGGACUGUUAACUGGGAAAACCCCAGCAUCCAGGGACAAAGACAAGGACAAGAAGAAAGCACCUACUUCUCGAUCUUCCCGCGCUGGCCUUCAGGUUCAUAUUUGUAAUUUCAAUUCUUUUAUAUUUUCUGCCCCUUAGCCGUCGUUUUAUACUUUUAUAAGGUUUUCUGGAGGUAUUUUGUUCACUGGGAGAGGUGUUUAUUUAUGGGUUAUUGGUUAACGUAUAAUCUGUUUUUGUACCAUUCUUGUUUUCCUGUUUGGAUUAGGGUUUUAUUUUAUUAUUAUUUUUUUGGGUAAACUUUCUUUCUGAUUCCGUUCUAUAGUCUUUUAGGAUUUAUUUUGUUUCGAUUUGUUUUGGGCGGAGCCUGAGUAUUCUUGUAUGCAGAAGAUAAGGGUUGUGAAUUUGAGUAAAUUUUGUGUUUAAAAAUUGAAAGAAAAUGUCUAAACUCGUGUCCUCAAUUGCUCGUGAGAAACACUUGAUGGCCCAAAAAAAUUGUGAAUUGUGUCAUCUGUAUUAACUUGCUGUUUGUAAACAAGAAAAAAUUUAAGGAGGACUCACGGUAGGAAAAAUAAUUUAGUGAUUUGAUUAGCUGCAAGGCUUUGGCAGCAAUGUCGAGUCUUCUUGAUUAAGGAAUUCUACUUUUCGUUUCUUUUCAUUUUGUUGAAAACAUGAGAGGUUUGAUACUUAAGAGGUUUGUUCGUUCUGCUAGGAUGUGAACUCUAGGUCAGAAAAAGAAAUUCAAUAAAUCAAUUCAAAUUUGACAUCAAAUUUUUGUAGUUCUAAUUCUGAAAGCCCAAUGAAAUGUAUCAAUCAAGACAAAUGACACACCAUUGACAGGAAUUGAUUUUGAGGAGUAAUCACUAACUAUUUGACAUAACUUGAUAUUUACUUAGCAAAGCUCCCUGUCAAAAUCAAUCUUAGUCCUUAUUGAUUUCCUGUUCUCAUAAAUCGAGUCUACUAACAUGUGUGGUUUUUAUUUAGAUCACAGCACAUUCUUAAUGUGGACUGAACUUACAGUAGGUUGCGUGACUGAAAAAUAGACAUUGGCGCUUCCGACAUAGUAACAUAGUAAUUUGUGAAUUGGUUGAAGACAAACACGAGGUUUAUGUUAUGGUAAAAAAAAAAAAUAAUCCAAAUUUAACUUCCCUUAAGGCCCGUCUUAGAGUGGGGAAUGCAAAAACCCUUUAGGAAGCUAACUGUGAGGCACCUCUUAGUGGCUUACACCUUAGUUGUGUGAGGCACACACCUCACAGCACCGCGUCAAGACUUAUGGCCCACAAAACAUAAGAUUUUGAGAAUAGUUCAUUGCUUACUCAAACAUUGAACAAUUUUGUUACUCAGAGACUUACUUCGAGGAUAUUCCACUGCCCUCGCUAAGUAACAUGAUUGCUUCUUUGUAAAGUUUUCUUUUAUUUAUUUGCGUGUUUUAAAUUGUACUGUAAUGAAUUUUGAUUUUGAAAGAUUAUUUAUGAUGUAUUAUGGGCUUAUUUUGCAUUUUUUUUUUAUUGGGUAUAAGGUGAGGUUUAUGCCUUAAAGCGCCUAGAGGCUUAUACCUUGUCUUAUGAAGGAAAAAAGGCCUCAAUACCUAAUUACACCUUUAUAAACAUUGAUUUAUGAUUUUAUGUUACCGUUUAUGUCAAAGGAUUGGAUUCCAGAAGUGGCAUUAAGAUCAUGAUUGGAGGUCUUGUCUCCAUUCUAAAACUGGUUGAGAACAUAAAUAGGGAGCGAUUCAUAUUCUUGUGAUGCCAUUUUGUUUUAGUUUAGAUUUUAGCAAGAUGCUAGUUAUAUUAUAGUUCCAAAACUUGGACAACAGUUAUUGAGUUUUUUUGUAGGUUUGAAGGCCCAUAGGUUUUCACCUUGUUAGAGGUUUUGCCACACUAAAUUUGGUGUUCAUAUUUAUUGCUUUACACAAAUGGUUCUACUUCAAAAUUCCGCGUGUUAGUUGGCUCAAACUUCGCACAUGGAAAAGUCUAUAUGAGGGUUUAUAUUAAUUCAUUAGAUAAAAGAGUGUG